Molecule: non-coding RNA, 1159 nt
Organism: Camelina sativa (false flax)
Lineage: Eukaryota; Viridiplantae; Streptophyta; Magnoliopsida; Brassicales; Brassicaceae
Source: RefSeq, a predicted model, not a curated record
CGAACAGUUUUGGAUGAAGAAUAGACAGUCUUUCUGAUUUGAUUAAUACUUCUAUUGAUAACGUCCAAGUUCAAUAAGUUUUUCUAGAUUGCAGCCGCAGGAAUAAAGAUAAAAUUUUUGAGUUUGUUUUGCUUUGCUUUGCUUUGCUUAAUGGAGUUCUCAGGUUUAUUCAAAGAACCUGUUUUGCUUUGAUUUGCUUUGAUUUGUUUUGAAUGUAUUAUGAUGCUCUGUGUUUUUCUCAAACUAAUUGAGAAACAAAAGCAGAAUAAAUCAAUCUAAGUUAGUGUCAAUGGCUCUUUUAUUUUACGAUAUGAUUAUGGUUUUUUUUUGGACAUGUUCUUUGUGUAGAGUUGCAGAAUGGGCUUGAGGUGAAUUGUUUUAGAACCCAACAACUUAAUUAGGUUACAAAAGAAGGAGAGAAGAAGAUACGGAGACACUUCUAACUCACGCAGCGGUGAUAAGUGAGAAAGAUAUAGAGGUAGAGAAGAGAUCGAGCUUAUUGAGAGAGUAGAGAAGAGAUCGAGCUUGUUGUUUUUUUUUCUUUUCUCUUGUUCUUCAUUUAUUCUUCUUUCUUUAUGCUUAUGGCUUGAAUUAGUGUUUGGUUUAAUUAACUAUGGCGAAGAAUGUGGAAGUCGUUCCCGGAGAAGGAUUUGGGACAAGAGACUAUUAAUAUCUUCGGCCAGCUAAUUGUAAGCAAUAAAGGGAGAUGUAGAUUUCCUCCUCAAAGGAGUUGGAGACCAAGCUGUUGCUAAAGAAGUUAAACAAAUUCUUGAAAUGGCAAGACGUGCAGCAUCAAGAAGAGAAAAGUUCUGCACACAGAUUUUCUCACACCACCUAUUGUUAAAGAAUCAGUUUCAGUAUUGAGUAAAUUUGCUGAUGUUAAGAUAGUUUCUCAAGGAGGUUCCCCUGAGGCUGAACGGUGUAGGAUCUCGAUUGGACAUCCUGAUGUAUUAACCAAUGAUCCAGAUAUAGUUGCAGCUUUGAGGACUAAUACCUUUAAGACUGUGGAAGCCUCGUUGAGAAUUGAUGUAGCAGCAGCUAGUGCUGGUUUCAAGAUUUCGCGGUCAAAGCUAGUUGAUCUGAUUAGUAGUAAAGACGUUCGGGUUAAUUGGGCAACCAUUACUAAGAACGGAACCUUAGUGAAGACUGGUGAUGUUGG